Molecule: long non-coding RNA, 285 nt
Filed under: Lathyrus oleraceus (garden pea)
Lineage: Eukaryota; Viridiplantae; Streptophyta; Magnoliopsida; Fabales; Fabaceae
Description: Pisum sativum (pea) long non-coding RNA (PSAT_LNC033837)
Source: RNAcentral
CACUAGAUCCGGGUGUAGGAUCUUUCACUCAAGCAUGGAAUACCCAAACAAUCCCUUAAAAGUAAAUCAGCUGAAGGAACAAUUCGAAAACAUAAAUGACCUUUUUUUUUCUUUUUUUUAUUUUUAUUUUUUUUUAUUUUUUAUUUUUUAAAAAGGUAACCUCUCUUUUUUAGCUCCCCAACAGAGUCGCCAGUUCUGUCAUACGGUGAACUGACUUUUGUGUUUUGCUUUGAAAAGCAAUGUCGCGGAUAGCAAGAGUCGCCACCGACUUUUCUUUUAUCCAAU